RNAcentral lists this ribosomal RNA (1400 nucleotides) under Klebsiella pneumoniae subsp. pneumoniae. RNAcentral's name for it is "bacterial SSU rRNA". It matches the Rfam family "Bacterial small subunit ribosomal RNA". The record is from RNAcentral. Lineage: Bacteria; Pseudomonadati; Pseudomonadota; Gammaproteobacteria; Enterobacterales; Enterobacteriaceae.
GUCGAGCGGUAGCACAGAGAGCUUGCUCUCGGGUGACGAGCGGCGGACGGGUGAGUAAUGUCUGGGAAACUGCCUGAUGGAGGGGGAUAACUACUGGAAACGGUAGCUAAUACCGCAUAAUGUCGCAAGACCAAAGUGGGGGACCUUCGGGCCUCAUGCCAUCAGAUGUGCCCAGAUGGGAUUAGCUAGUAGGUGGGGUAACGGCUCACCUAGGCGACGAUCCCUAGCUGGUCUGAGAGGAUGACCAGCCACACUGGAACUGAGACACGGUCCAGACUCCUACGGGAGGCAGCAGUGGGGAAUAUUGCACAAUGGGCGCAAGCCUGAUGCAGCCAUGCCGCGUGUGUGAAGAAGGCCUUCGGGUUGUAAAGCACUUUCAGCGGGGAGGAAGGCGGUGAGGUUAAUAACCUCAUCGAUUGACGUUACCCGCAGAAGAAGCACCGGCUAACUCCGUGCCAGCAGCCGCGGUAAUACGGAGGGUGCAAGCGUUAAUCGGAAUUACUGGGCGUAAAGCGCACGCAGGCGGUCUGUCAAGUCGGAUGUGAAAUCCCCGGGCUCAACCUGGGAACUGCAUUCGAAACUGGCAGGCUAGAGUCUUGUAGAGGGGGGUAGAAUUCCAGGUGUAGCGGUGAAAUGCGUAGAGAUCUGGAGGAAUACCGGUGGCGAAGGCGGCCCCCUGGACAAAGACUGACGCUCAGGUGCGAAAGCGUGGGGAGCAAACAGGAUUAGAUACCCUGGUAGUCCACGCCGUAAACGAUGUCGAUUUGGAGGUUGUGCCCUUGAGGCGUGGCUUCCGGAGCUAACGCGUUAAAUCGACCGCCUGGGGAGUACGGCCGCAAGGUUAAAACUCAAAUGAAUUGACGGGGGCCCGCACAAGCGGUGGAGCAUGUGGUUUAAUUCGAUGCAACGCGAAGAACCUUACCUGGUCUUGACAUCCACAGAACUUUCCAGAGAUGGAUUGGUGCCUUCGGGAACUGUGAGACAGGUGCUGCAUGGCUGUCGUCAGCUCGUGUUGUGAAAUGUUGGGUUAAGUCCCGCAACGAGCGCAACCCUUAUCCUUUGUUGCCAGCGGUCCGGCCGGGAACUCAAAGGAGACUGCCAGUGAUAAACUGGAGGAAGGUGGGGAUGACGUCAAGUCAUCAUGGCCCUUACGACCAGGGCUACACACGUGCUACAAUGGCAUAUACAAAGAGAAGCGACCUCGCGAGAGCAAGCGGACCUCAUAAAGUAUGUCGUAGUCCGGAUUGGAGUCUGCAACUCGACUCCAUGAAGUCGGAAUCGCUAGUAAUCGUAGAUCAGAAUGCUACGGUGAAUACGUUCCCGGGCCUUGUACACACCGCCCGUCACACCAUGGGAGUGGGUUGCAAAAGAAGUAGGUAGCUUAACCUUCGGGAGGGCGC